RNAcentral lists this ribosomal RNA (157 nucleotides) under Otidea onotica. Its description in RNAcentral is "5.8S ribosomal RNA". It matches the Rfam family "5.8S ribosomal RNA". Rfam says of the family: 5.8S ribosomal RNA (5.8S rRNA) is a component of the large subunit of the eukaryotic ribosome. It is transcribed by RNA polymerase I as part of the 45S precursor that also contains 18S and 28S rRNA. The record is from RNAcentral. Lineage: Eukaryota; Fungi; Ascomycota; Pezizomycetes; Pezizales; Pyronemataceae. RNAcentral also lists the same sequence under 2 other names.
AACUUUCAACAACGGAUCUCUUGGUUCUCGCAUCGAUGAAGAACGCAGCGAAAUGCGAUAAGUAGUGUGAAUUGCAGAAUUCAGUGAAUCAUCGAAUCUUUGAACGCACAUUGCGCCUCCUGGUAUUCCGGGAGGCAUGCCUGUUCGAGCGUCAUGA